AACGAACGCUGGCGGCAGGCUUAACACAUGCAAGUCGAACGAUCUCUUCGGAGGUAGUGGCAGACGGGUGAGUAACACGUGGGAACGUACCUUUCAGUCAGGAAUAACUCAUGGAAACGUGAGCUAAUACCCGAUACGCCCUUUUGGGGAAAGAUUUAUCGCUGAAAGAUCGGCCCGCGUCUGAUUAGCUAGGUGGUGGGGUAAUGGCAUACCAAGGCGACGAUCAGUAGCUGGUCUGAGAGGAUGAUCAGCCACACUGGGACUGAGACACGGCCCAGACUCCUACGGGAGGCAGCAGUGGGGAAUAUUGGACAAUGGGCGCAAGCCUGAUCCAGCCAUGCCGCGUGAGUGAUGACGGCCUUAGGGUUGUAAAGCUCUUUCGACGGGGACGAUAAUGACGGUACCCGUAGAAGAAGCCCCGGCUAACUUCGUGCCAGCCGCCGCAGUAA
This 449-nucleotide ribosomal RNA is filed under the name uncultured bacterium. RNAcentral's name for it is "partial 16S ribosomal RNA". It matches the Rfam family "Bacterial small subunit ribosomal RNA", at positions 29 to 523 of the family's 1533-position model. The record is from RNAcentral.